GAUUUUCUGCUCCGGUUGGUGAGCGCGCCUGCGCGUUGACGGCGAUUUUGCGUUCUGAGGCUGCGCGCGCGGGGCCGCGCCCACGUGCACUGGACCGAGUCGCGCAGCGCGGGCUCGAGCACGGCUUACACGCAGAGCUACAGUGAACGCGUGGAGGUCGUGAGCCACCGCGCCACGCUCCUGGCGCCAGAUACCGGGGAGACCACGACGCUGCCUCCUGGGCGCCAUGAGUUCCUGUUCAGCUUCCAGCUGCCCCCGACCCUGGUGACAUCCUUCGAGGGCAAACACGGUAGUGUCCGCUACUGUAUCAAGGCCACCCUGCACCGGCCCUGGGUCCCAGCACGCCGGGCAAGGAAGGUGUUCACUGUCAUCGAGCCUGUGGACAUCAACACGCCAGCCCUGCUGGCACCUCAAGCGGGGGCUCGGGAAAAGGUUGCCCGAUCCUGGUACUGUAACCGUGGCCUAGUCUCUCUUUCGGCCAAGAUCGACCGCAAGGGCUACACCCCAGGAGAGGUCAUCCCUGUCUUUGCCGAGAUCGACAACGGCUCCACACGUCCUGUGCUGCCUCGGGCAGCC
RNAcentral lists this small RNA (576 nucleotides) under Pan troglodytes (chimpanzee). RNAcentral describes it as "processed transcript". Lineage: Eukaryota; Metazoa; Chordata; Mammalia; Primates; Hominidae. The record is from RNAcentral.